Molecule: ribosomal RNA, 234 nt
Filed under: uncultured bacterium
Lineage: Bacteria
Description: partial 16S ribosomal RNA
Rfam family: Bacterial small subunit ribosomal RNA
Source: RNAcentral
CGGCGACGGGUGAGUAAUGUCUGGGAAACUGCCCGAUGGAGGGGGAUAACUACUGGAAACGGUAGCUAAUACCGCAUAACGUCGCAAGACCAAAGAGGGGGACCUUCGGGCCUCUUGCCAUCGGAUGUGCCCAGAUGGGAUUAGCUAGUAGGUGGGGUAACGGCUCACCUAGGCGACGAUCCCUAGCUGGUCUGAGAGGAUGACCAGCCACACUGGAACUGAGACACGGUCCAG